Molecule: long non-coding RNA, 563 nt
Organism: Nylanderia fulva
Lineage: Eukaryota; Metazoa; Arthropoda; Insecta; Hymenoptera; Formicidae
Source: RefSeq, a predicted model, not a curated record
UGAAUAAAUAUAAAAUAGAAAUUUGUGUAACAGGUGAUGAAUGUUUAAUAAUACUUUUGAGCACUUAUUUCAAUCUGAGAGAGUUGUCCGGAACUAUUGGAACCCACAAUGUUCAUGUUCAAAAAACGAUCAUUAGGAAAUUCAGAAGUUACUUAUGAUGAAAAUUAUUUAAGGGAAACAAAACAUAGACGUGGAAUGAAGGAAUCUUUGAAUCAUUUGUCAGAAAUGCGAAUGAAAAAGAGAUACUGCAUUAAGUUAAUCUAAUCGCGAUUUAGAGGCCCUUCUCGAAGAUUUUAUAGUCCUACAACAAUUAUUAGGUCUUGAUCAAGUUGUAUUACAAAAAGUAUUGAACAAUAUUCCAAUGAAGAUUUCAAGAGAAAAAUAUAGUUGCGUGCUUCUAAUCGGAUUGGAUUUGAAGUUUAAAGACAGAAUAAAAACGCUGAAUUUUCGAAAAAAAAAAAGAAAAUUUAUACAUAUAUGAAUAUUAUAAAUAAUAUAUUUAGUCUCUAAAAAGGAAAAUGUUUUUCAGAGAGAUAAAUACAAUAAUAUGAGUUAAAAGCAUA